Symphalangus syndactylus (siamang) is the source of this 1396-nucleotide long non-coding RNA. RefSeq lists it as uncharacterized. Lineage: Eukaryota; Metazoa; Chordata; Mammalia; Primates; Hylobatidae. The record is from RefSeq and is a predicted model, not a curated record.
CUUGUAGUAACUGGGAAUUCUUCCCCUGAAGACACCUGGUUAAUUCACUUGCAACCUGUUUCCAGAUUUGCCAGCAGGACAGCUCUUGAUUUGAAAGAGAUGGAGUCUCACUAUGUUGCCCAGGUUGGUCUGGAACUCUUCAGCUCAAGUGAUCCUCCCACUUCAGCCUCCCAUGUAGCCAGGAUUACAGGGUUUUGCAACUGCAGCACUAUUUUGGACUGGCCAAUUCUCUGUUGGGGGCACUGUCAUGUGCACUGUAGGAGAUUUAGCAGAAUUCCUGGAUACUACCCACAAAAUGCCAAUAGCACCCCUCUGUCAGGUGUGACAACCAUUUCCAGACAUUGCCAAAUAUCUUCUGGGGGCGAAAUCACCCAUGGUUGAGAACCAGCAAUUUAAAAGGACAGAAUUUUGCCUGAGCAGAAAGACCAGAAAAACCUAUCCUGUUUUCCCAGGAAUUAGAAAACCCUUCGUCUUCAAGAGCAAGGAACCAUUUUAAAAGGUCCAAACCCUUAAACACCUGAGAGCAAAGAGAUUCUCAAGGGAAUUGAAGUUCAGGGUCAGAGAGUGCCUGUCCUCACCCACUGCAACCAGGUUCUUGAAGUUCUCCACCAUGACAUCUCGGUACAGCUUCCUCUGGGUAAGAUCCAGCAGUCGCAGUUCCUCCCUGGAGAAGACCACAGCCACAUCCUUGAAUGUCACAGCCUCCUACAACAUCAAACACAUGUAACCUCAAUCUUACAACCAACCUCCACUAGAAGAAGGUUGUGUGUGUGUGAGACAAGGUCUUACUAUGUUGUCCAGGUUGGUCUCAAAUUCCUGGGCUCACUUGAUGCUCCUGCCUCAGCCUCCCAAGUAGCUGGGACUACAGGUGUAUGCUAACAUGCCUGGCUAAUAUAUAUAUAUAUAUAAAAAUUUUUUUUUUUUUUUUUUGUAGAGAUGGAGUCUCUACAAAUUUUUAAAAAUAAAUAAAUUUUCAGGCUAGGCACAGUGGCUCACACCUGUAAUGCCAGCACUUUGGGAGGCCGAGGCGGGCAAAUCACUUCAGGCCAGGAGUUUGAGACCAGCCUGGCCAAGAUGCUGAAACCCCGUCUCUACUAAAAAUACAAAAAAAUUAGCCAGGCGUGGUGAUGUGCGUCUGUAAUCCCAGCUACUCAGGAGGCUGAGGCAGGAGAAUCACUUGAACCUGGGAGGCGGAGAUUGCAGUGAGCCAAGAUGGCACCACUGCACUCUAGCCUGGGUGACGGGUGAGACACUGUCUUAAAAUAAAUAAAUUUUUAAAAUUAAAAUAAAUAGAUCAUAAAGUGUUUGAAAGGAUCAGAUGAAUGAAUACAUGUCAAGCACUUAGAAGUGCCUGGCACACCAUAUGUGCUCAAUAAACUCGAACAAUGAAUAUCUU